AUUGAACGCUGGCGGCAUGCCUAACACAUGCAAGUCGAACGGCAGCACAGUAGGUAGCAAUACCUAUGGGUGGCGAGUGGCGGACGGGUGAGUAAUGCUUAGGAAUCUGCCUUAUGGUGGGGGAUAACUAACCGAAAGGUUAGCUAAUACCGCAUACGCCCUUACGGGGAAAGCGGGGGAUCGAAAGACCUCGCGCCAAUAGAUGAGCCUAAGUCCGAUUAGCUAGUUGGUAGGGUAAAGGCCUACCAAGGCGACGAUCGGUAGCUGGUCUGAGAGGACGGCCAGCAACACUGGAACUGAGACACGGUCCAGACUCCUACGGGAGGCAGCAGUGGGGAAUAUUGGACAAUGGGGGAAACCCUGAUCCAGCAAUGCCGCGUGUGUGAAGGAGGCCUGCGGGUUGUAAAGCACUUUCGGUUGGGAAGAAAAGUUUGGCGCUAAUACCGCCGAACCUUGACGUUACUGACAGAAGAAGCACCGGCUAACUCUGUGCCAGCCGCCGCCGUAA
Molecule: ribosomal RNA, 508 nt
Filed under: uncultured bacterium
Lineage: Bacteria
Description: partial 16S ribosomal RNA
Rfam family: Bacterial small subunit ribosomal RNA
Source: RNAcentral